Molecule: ribosomal RNA, 466 nt
Filed under: uncultured bacterium
Lineage: Bacteria
Description: partial 16S ribosomal RNA
Rfam family: Bacterial small subunit ribosomal RNA
Source: RNAcentral
GAUGAACGCUGGCGGCGUGCUUAACACAUGCAAGUCGAACGAGGAAGCCCAGCUUGCUGGGUGGAUUAGUGGCGAACGGGUGAGUAACACGUGAGUAACCUGCCCUUAACUCUGGGAUAAGCCUGGGAAACUGGGUCUAAUACCGGAUAGGAGCGUCCACCGCAUGGUGGGUGCUGGAAAGAUUUAUCGGUUUUGGAUGGACUCGCGGCCUAUCAGCUUGUUGGUGAGGUAAUGGCUCACCAAGGCGACGACGGGUAGCCGGCCUGAGAGGGUGACCGGCCACACUGGGACUGCGACACGGCCCAGACUCCUACGGGAGGCAGCGGUGGGGAAUAUUACACAGUGGGCGCAAGCCUGAUGCAGCGACGCCGCGUGAGGGAUGACGGCCUUCGGGUUGUAAACCUCUUUCAGUAGGGAAGAAGCGAAAGUGACGGUACCUGCAGAAGAAGCACCGGCUAACUACGUG